ACCCUCCAGGUUCCUCAGCCAUCAAACCUAAGCACUGUUCUGAGUGGCUGUAAAUGGAGGAAAAAGUAAAAGUGAAACUGACUUAAAUUAUUUUGUGAACAUGGGGUAGUAUCAAACAAAA
This 121-nucleotide small nucleolar RNA is filed under the name Echinops telfairi (small Madagascar hedgehog). Its description in RNAcentral is "Small nucleolar RNA SNORA61 (ENSETEG00000026031.1)". The record is from RNAcentral. Lineage: Eukaryota; Metazoa; Chordata; Mammalia; Afrosoricida; Tenrecidae.